UGGGGAAUAUUGGACAAUGGGCGAAAGCCUGAUCCAGCAACGCCGCGUGAGGGAUGACGGCCUUCGGGUUGUAAACCUCUUUCAGCAGGGACGAAGCGAAAGUGACGGUACCUGCAGAAGAAGCACCGGCCAACUACGUGCCAGCAGCCGCGGUAAUACGUAGGGUGCGAGCGUUGUCCGGAAUUAUUGGGCGUAAAGGGCUCGUAGGCGGUUUGUCGCGUCGGGAGUGAAAACUCGGAGCUUAACUCCGAGCCUGCUUCCGAUACGGGCAGACUAGAGGUAUGCAGGGGAGAACGGAAUUCCUGGUGUAGCGGUGAAAUGCGCAGAUAUCAGGAGGAACACCGGUGGCGAAGGCGGUUCUCUGGGCAUUACCUGACGCUGAGGAGCGAAAGUGUGGGGAGCGAACA
Molecule: ribosomal RNA, 407 nt
Filed under: uncultured bacterium
Lineage: Bacteria
Also listed under: 1 other name
Description: bacterial SSU rRNA
Rfam family: Bacterial small subunit ribosomal RNA
Source: RNAcentral